Strigops habroptila (Kakapo) is the source of this 13110-nucleotide long non-coding RNA. RefSeq lists it as uncharacterized. NCBI's taxonomy places the organism in Eukaryota, Metazoa, Chordata, Aves, Psittaciformes, Psittacidae. The record is from RefSeq and is a predicted model, not a curated record. The transcript is spliced from 8 exons.
GAGAGAGAGGGAGAAUCCUGUUUUGUGAUUUUUUUUUUUAAACGACGAACCGUGCCUCGCAUGCUGCUGUCAGAGCAAAACACUUUUGCUGCUUAAAGUCACAUCUACGCCUUUUGCGAUAAUCCUUUAAAAAAAUAUAUAAAAAAAAUAAAGGAGAAAUAAUUGCUUUAAAGCCUCAGCCGAACUGCCAACCACACCUUCGGAUGUCAGAAGGCAGAAAUAUGUGAGCUGCUGAGAGAGGUGGGUACUUUUUGGGCCUUCCUCAGACAUGACAUAAAUAGAGAUUGAACUAUCAGGGAAGAAAAAAGAAAAUAAACCCAAACCCCUGGACAGGAACAGACACAGGCAGAUAUAUAACCACAUAUGAACAAUGUUACAUACCGUGUUAAGAGGAUGUUAAAAAGAAAUAAUAAAUAAAUUGCAUAUUUAUAACCUCAUAAUUAAAAUACAUUCUCAUCUCCCUCUGAAAGGUUGCAGCUUUCUUGGAUAUAUUUUGAGUGCAUAUUUUAAACUCCGUGUCCCGAAUUGAAUUGAGAUGAGCUGUUUUACCCAAGAGUAAAACCCUUGUUUACAAUUUGAUGUUUAAGUUUCAUCUGCCUAUCAAUUGCCAUAUCAUUUCCUUCAUAUUUUACCUCCUUACAUUUGGAAACCUUAUUUAAGAUGGUGUUAGCUUCUAGCAAAUGCUAAUUUCUGUUUAUAAGAAAUUAGCCAAUAUUAUCCAAAACAAUCCCUGUGUUUGACUGAGGCAAAUUGUAUGAGAAUUUUUUUUUCCCAUUCAAAGGGCUAAAGCUUAACUGAAAACUUUAAAGCAAAGGGAUACCAGCAAACAGUAAAAAAUGGCAUAUCUGCUCUCUCUUGACAAGCUUGCAUUAUAUCACAUGUAAGGAAGCCCAGUUUUUUGAAUCUAAGACCAGUUUUAGUUUUUAAUAGGAAAUAAUUACAUGGAACUUUAUUUCCAGAGAGAAUGUCCCUUCCAGCUACAGUGUUUUGCUUUGAUCUAAGUAUUAACUGGUAAUAAAAUAACCAUAUUUUGGAUCCUAAGCAUAUUGAUGCUUAAAGGAAUGUUAUGCUUUCAAUCAAAUUUGAACGUGCGAUUAUCCAAAGGUAUUCAUCCUUCUUUUGUCAGAAACCAUUUUACUCUCUUAUUCCUACAGCUGCUCACAUGUGGUUUAGUAUACUUUAGCUUUUUUUUUUUUUUUGUAGUAGAAUUUGCACCAUCAAGGUGGAAAACUUUUAAAUGGAGCUCAAUCAUGUUCCAGCCUGGUAAUUUGGACUGUUUCUCACAGAACUCCCCGCUCCAGCCCUGCUUUACACUUGUUGUACACCACCACCAUUGCCCAUCUCCGAGGGUGACUAUCAUGAGUGUCUCUGCAGCAGGAUUUUGGUUUAAAUCUUCAGAUUUUUUUUGUUUCUUUCUAAAACCUGAAGAAUCAAUCAUUUGGACCCAUCCUGAACAAUUAACCUCGCCUUUAUAUUACAGCCCCAAGCUCAGUACUUCAUAAAGACAUGAAAAGGACAUCCCAGACAGCAGGACCCGAGCCCAGGCUUGUCACAGAGUAUAAAAGGAGAGAGAAGGGGAGUUUUUAUCUCUUUGCCCCACCAAUUCUUAAUAGUUCUAAGUUUCAGUGGUACAAUAAACCAGUUUUGAUAACAUAGCUCAUGGGUUUCCCUGCCACAUAAAGUUUUCUUAAUAAUAAAAAAGAAGAAACUUUAUCCCUGCUAAAUUAAAAUAGGGCAGAUGUUGGAUAUGGUUCGUAUUAGCCAGCCUUUCACCCCUUUGCCCCUGGCACUAAAGUUCUGACUUUUUCUUUCUACUAUGUCUGUUUCUAACUGAAAGGUAUUAUUCCUGCCCUAGCCCUCUUCUUCUAUUUAUUUUUUCAGCACCUAAAAUUAAACCUAUUCAUUUAGUAAUAUACAUUCUAUUGCAGAUUGCUAAAUCUGGGCACAGAGGGGAAACGUUUUCCAAAAAGUGAUGCACCACUGACCUUAAAAGAAAACACGAGGCAGGGAAAGCUGUUCUGAAAAGGUUUAUUUCUAGCGAAUUUUGUAGCUCUGUUGACAUUAUAAGGAUAAUGGCUGUGUUGCAAUGGGCUUUCAAGGCCCAAGAGGUUUAUGUUUUCUUCUGACCAUAAGUAUAAUAAAAUUUUAAAGGUGCACAAAGCCUCAUCACUUUAGAUAUUUGAAACUAGACUGAAAAAACCCUUGGGAAACACACAUUAUAGUGGACAGCUCUGCUGAGGGAGCAGGGGAUAGGGAAAAAACAAACAAACCCCAAACCCAAAUAAAACCCCCAAUUUUUGUCAUGCUAGCUCUAUGAAAAUCCUGGCUAUUAAACUCCCAAGGAUAGCACAGCUCUUUUCUCCAGGGCUGUGAAGAUAGAAUUUAUUGUCCAUUUGGAACGAUCAAGUUUAGGCUAAUAAAAGGCCCUCUGUAAGCAGAAGUGCCCAAGUUGACGUUUGGCAGAGUUUUCAAUGGUAGAGUUUAUAUAGGAUGGGGGCUCUGUGCUAUUAGAAAUUACUCAUCUCUCAGCAGCCGAGGAUGAGUUGACGUACAGAAGUAAACGUUAGUAGGCAACGGCUGAAGGUUAAUCAGUGUUGCUUUCUGAACUGGAGGGUUCAAAGCAGGAAGAAGUGAAAGCUGCUCUCUCCAGCCCUUCCCUUUGCUAAGGUGCUGCUAACUUUUAUGAUUUUUCUCCCCCCCCGCCCCUUCCUAUUUUACUAUCUGUCUUUGUGCCUGAGGGCCAGUGAAAGAACACUGCAGAUUCUAGAUUGCUUUCAGAGUUUCCCUUUGCUGAUGAUGGAUUACCAUGUCAAUUUAAACGGCAUAGGAUUAAUUUGUUUCAAUGAUUUCUCUUUAGGCUGAAUGCCAGUCUUUUUUUUCCUGUCUCUCUCCUUACUCUUAAGAAUAAUAACAAUAAUAAUAAUAAUAAUAAAAAAAUCCUUAAAAACCCCAAACACUUUUGAUCUCCCACAUUAAAAAGACAAUAAUAGAAAUAGACAAGUUAGGUAUAAUGUUGCAAAACAGUUGUAGGUUUGAGUGUUUUUAUCUCAUUCUAAGGGGCUGAAGCAUACAGUCAGUCACAUUAAAAUGAAAUUGGAUCCAACGUUUAUUCAAUAAAUACUUGUCUUGUAGGUAAUCCAGAGCAGAGUGCUUUUGACACAUAAGGACUUAAUUUGUCUUGGAUAACAAGUUAUUAAUAUGGCACAUUUAAACUUGCCACCUACAAUAAGGUCAUUUAGAUCUAUAAUAUGACUCGCAAGAGAACUUCAUAAAGCCAGAAACAAAGUUUGAGGCUGCCUCUGAGUUGUGGAGCAGAACGUGGUUUGCUCUUUUCAGCAGAAAGUUCAGAGCGAGUAGGAGCCACCCAAACCCAAGUGGUGUGCAUCUGCUCUCCUUUGAAAGGCAAACGUAAAUGGAAUAAGGAGGGGAGAGGGGAAAAAGAAAGUACCCAAACACACGUUUUUGAAUGAGUAAGCUUUAAAGCUGUGCUGCGUCUGCUAGCAAACUCAUCGCAGCUUUGGGAGUGAAAAAACAACAUUUGGUUCCGAGUGGAAAUUCGCCUGCGUUUGCACUCUACCUCUUCCAUGUGCUUUGCAAUUUACUUGCUUUUAAUAAUAAGUGAGGAAGUUGGAACAUAAUCCACCCAUAAAUGUUAUUGCUGUAAUUUGACUGUGCUGUGUUUGUUCAUGCAUUAGCCGUAUAUGUAAAGCGAAGGGGGGAUGUAUGGUGGUGAUCCCCGUGCAGCCUGAACAAACAGAGAUGUUUUGGUACGUACUGGAUUUCAACCCCCAAAUGCUCUGCAAUUUGGGAAGCUGGAGGUGGGGUGUUUAGUUUCAGACCUGUCCUAACCAAACAAUGCCUGCAUGAGGUGCAUCAGGAGGUGAAUAUUGUGGGCAUGUGAUGCAGGAUGUGUUCUGUGGCUGGCGACUUGGUGUCCACACUGUAUGCACGAGCUUUAUUAUUCUGCUUUGAUGUAUUAAGCUCUUGGUUGCUCUUGCCCUGGCAGAUUCUGUCUCUUUAAGUAACUAAAUCUAAUUUUUAAGCUCUUCCUGGGAAAAGGAUGUUACACAUGAGUAGAAAAAUGCAGGCGAGAAAGGCUAAUUGAAUGAAAAGAGAGAAUUAGGUUAAAAAUAGAGUACAAUCUAGUAUCACAUUUUCACUAGUGUAACCUGAAAUGAAGGUGUCUCCAAGUCCCUAGUGAUGCCAGAGUGUUUAGAUGUUGGGCACAGAUGGAGACACCUAUUGAAAUGUGUCUGAAGAAGAUUAAUAGGACUUGUCAGUGUUGGGAAAGCACUGCUUUGCUGUAAAUUUCUACUAGCACAAGAUGAAUUACCGAUGAAUGCUCAGUUAUCAACCCCAUCACUAUCAUUGGACACUAAAUCAAAUUGAGCAGCUAUCUACAAUCAGAAAAUUUCUUUUAAAAAUAGGCAUACACCUUUAGGCUUAAACUCUUUAAUAAGACAAAAUCCUCUAUGGUAUGUGUGUGUUCACGAAGGGAUAUGAUUUAAAGUUUCUAUACAAAAAGCUUCUGUUCAGAAACAAACUCCAAGUUUAGUGUGAAAUCUGGGUUGUCAAACAAUAGAAGAUAUUCAGAAAAUACUGGUUAUACGAUAUAAUGUUCUGCUGGAGGCCUGAUCCAAAAUGGAUUUUCAUGCAUGUCACUGAAUUUUGGAUCUGUCCCUAUUUGUGAGAGGUUUUUCUUUCAUUCCUCCUCUCCCUUAUUUUUGGUAAUGGUAAAAAAAACUUCUGUCUACCUUAAAGACUGAGCAUCCAGAUCAUAUAUGAAUGCAGAAUAGCUGUCAAGACUCAGGAUAUAUAUAUCAUAAUAAUACCACCCCCCAACAUGUUUAUGAAAUUACAGCUGAAUAUAAUGAAAUACGUGAUGAAAGAAUCAAUGAAUAAUAUUUUAACUGAGAAUAUUUCCUUCUAUCCUUUAUAAAAGGGGAAACUGUCACAAGCAAAACUAUCACAAACGUUUACCAGCCCACUCCUGAAGUAUAUUAUCUGUAUUUACCGUGUGAUGUUGAUGAUGACAAUGAUAUUAAAUAAGCAUUCUCUAUUUUUAGUUUCUAUGAUGUCUUUCCCUCUCACCCAGGCAUUGUGCUACUUUAUCCAAGGAGAUUUAUCGUGGCGUGUUUUCAGAAGUCAAUUUUUCCCUUUUAUUAUAGACAAGGGCAGUCAUUUAGGGAGGGAGACAGGUACAAUGCCUUUGUCAGAUCUGUAUCCCCAGCCACAGCUCCCUUCUUAAUCGAUGGCAAAUUCCCACUCUGGAGGAUCAGGCCCUAUCUGGGCCACUUCUCAACUCAGGAAUGUAUCCUUCCCUUCACCUCCACAUAUCUUACCUGUGAUGUAUGCUACUUUUUGAGGAGGGAAUAGUACGCUAUUUACCACAAAGUACAGCUUCAAAGCCUUUGUGUGUUUCUCAUCUCCAGCCAAAAGCUUAUUAUUUACCUCCUUAUAAAUUUACCCGGGCAAGGGAUAGUAGCAGUUAUUGUCUUCAUUUUUACAUCCUGAUUUUCACACAGCAAAUGCCCUGCACUAGGGCCAGAUUCUCACUCAGAUGGAAGUUAUUAACUUUAAGCAGAACGGAGCCGAUUUCAGCCAGCCACAGCCCGUGCCCUUCCAACACAGUUGCUUUACAGCGUCCCCUUGUUUAUUUUUUUCCUUGGAGGGCAUGAUUCUUUAAACAUGUUUGUUUUACACAGAGCAGCAGUUGAUUCCUAACUUUUUUUUUCCCCCACAAACAUGUAACGAGAAUAUUAAUAAGGAAUAUUAAUAGAGCUGAGUGCAGCAUGAUGCUAGUUAGAUUGUAGUAGCUGAGAAAUAUGAACUAGUGAACAUAAUCCAUAAACUCCAUUUGGUUACUAUAAUACUCCAAUCUGUAUUUAUUACAACCCCACUCUGAUGCUUAUACAACUGCAAUUGCUAGAUUUAUACACUCUAAUGGUUUCACAAUAGGAAAAACCUGUGUUCUUUAUCUUUCUUUUCCUGUCCAAAAUAACCCCUUCCACAUAUACUUCAGGCUUCUCCAGACCUUGUCUGGGUUUAAUCACAGGCUCUGGGACAAAACGCGCAUUAUUAAGAAAUAUAAAUAUUUUCAGAAGCAAUCAAAGGGUUGAAAGAUUGAUUCGGCAUGUAGAUUGGAUUUAAUUCGAAGCAGCUUUGUUCUAAUGAGGACUACUGGGAUACAAAGACGGCAGCCGCUUAUGGCCACCAGUUGGGAACUUCGACUCGCUGCAGCAACCUGUCAAGAAUUUCAAGGAACUGCCAGGUAUUAAGCAGCAAAGUGGUAGGGAAGCUGGUGGUCUAUUGUUUUCAGCCUUCUUUCGAGGCUGGAUUAAGGUUUCAUAGUCCCUGUUUUACCAAAAUGACAAUUAAGGUUAAUUUCUUGCUGCCCGCAGGACCAAAUCCUGCUCAGGGGGAAAGCCCUCUGGACUUUAUGGGGGGCUUUGCCUAAGGGAGAGGUGGCAAAGCUUGGCUGAGCCCCAGGUCCAGCAAAUUUGAGAGCCCCAUAGUGAUUUGUUCUGCUUCCAGACCUGGUGCGGCUGCUUUUUGUGACUAUUCCUGUUAAAUUUUGCUACCUGCGCUCCUAGAUGCGGCAGGAUCUUUUUGCAUAGGUGGUGUAUUUUCUUUAUGGAGAAAUACAGCUCUGUGUUGGCUGGGAAGCUCUUGUAUCCUUCUUGGGCGACCUGGACCUGUCCUGUUUCCCGGGGAAAAGCAUGAGACGUGCAACAAAACAUCCUUGAGGUGAUGCUGAACAAAACGGGACACUCGAUAGCUUUACCCUUAGGCUUAAAGAACCCCCCAAACAGUGAGAUUUCAGUGUGCACUGUGGGGGGGUGUCACGUCACAGGUAUUUGGGGAGCACAAAACCCUGGCAUCUUUCCUAAGUGUUGAGCGUACAGUCGGAAUCACAGUAUAUACAGGAUCAAACACUGACUAGUUUCUCUCUCCCCUUAGCCCCCCUCCCAUGCCUACUUUUGUCCAUAAAAGCAAGAGAAAGAGAGAAAGCUUGAAUUUUCUGAACUGUUUCACCCAUCCACAGCUGGAAUUCCAAAGCGAAAUGAAAAUGCCUUUAAAAUCAACCCUACAUGGGAGCCUGAGAGAACAAGUUUUCCUUUGUUGUAGGGUAUAGUAUUAUUUGCUGUAGGUUUUUGAUAUACAUUCUAAAUUAGGCCUGCAAAGGAAUGCUUCAUCUUUAAUUCAUCACUCUCAGCUGAAAGAGAUUAGCAAUGUCUAGCACGCACCCUUCGUAUGGUGCUGACCUCAUCAAGUAUGGCCUGAAAUUAAUUAGCCUCAUUCAUUCCAAAUGGAAAAGGAUAAUGGAGCUGCAUUUUAGAGAUGACCAUCACAAAUUGUAUGCAGCAUAUUUAAAAUCCCUCCCCCCACUUCUCGCUCCCCUCCCCAUUAAAAAAACUAUGUAGAUUAAAAUUCUUUCCAGAACUUGCAAUAUGCCAGAGUUAUCGAGGCAUUAGGAGCAGAAACCACUCCGUUUUUAUUUGUGGAACUGGGAGCCACAUUUUGUAUGUGUAGCUGUAAAAGCAGCAAGCCUGUCUUAAAUGACACAACACCUGGAAUUAAUCUGAUAUUUCCAGGUGCUCUGGCAAACUGGGGCAUCAAGCGCUUGGUGUUUAAACAUUCUUCCACUGGCUUGCUUAAAUCAAUAUGAAAGUGGUGUCCCUUUGUCAUUCAUAGAUGCAAAGUGCUAGCACAAACUCCAGCUUGGCUUCAGAGUCCUACAUCACUCAUAAUCUAAUUAGAAAUCAGAGCAGAGCCGAAGCAGCAUUCUUUGUGGAUUCUUGAGCAGCAAAUAGGGAUACUUGUCUUUUGUUUCCCUCCUCGAUUGCAUCGUUCACAAGCUUUCACACCACAUCUCUAAAGGUGGUUAGGUGCCUCAAGAUGUUGACAGGCAUGAAGGACAAGAUUAUUUAGGAACUUGGACGAUGCCCGUGCCUAAGACAAUGGUGAGGAUUGGCCCCAAAUCCAGAUCCAGCCUGGAUUCCUCCACCUGAGUAGUCCUGUCUCAACCUACGACUGCUGAUGGAUUGCGGCGAUGUGGACCUUCCUGUCUCCUUACUCCCCAGCAUCAGAUCACCAAGAGGGCCUGAGAUAACGCUGGAUGAAGCACCACAAGACCAUGCGCACAGAGAGAUGUUGGUUCCCUGACUGCCACUGAUUCAGCUCUGUCAUGGCACAAGCUACAAGAGGCCGGAGACAUAUCGUGUGGACAGUUCCUGUCCUGGCUCCUCCUCAUCAGUGCUUUGAGUUGUGUGAAGCCCUGAGAACCAAGGCGACAUGAGUGCAUGACCAGGUUCCUGAUGCUAAAGGUCUGACCUCAAAAUGAGCAGUGCAAGAAUGGGCACCACAGCGAGCUUCUGGCCUUCAACCCUUCCAAAUACAGCUAUUUUGGAGAGGCACGGCCUGGUUUGCUGCAAUGCAACUGUCCUCAUUAAUGUUCUUCAAGCCCUGAUGUACUGGGAUCGCCAUUGUUGGGUAAGAAGAUCGUGGAGUUUUCCAGGCUCAUUCUCUUGGCUUCAGAAUGUUAAAUUGGGUGAUAAUGAGUAGUAACUGUGUCCCUUUUUAUGGGGAAGUUGACACUUGCCUUCUCUUAAACAGACACAGAGAUGACCCUCCUUAUUUCACACAGGUCACCAAACAGCCCCUGGCAUGGGAAGGGUUAUUGGCCAUUUACCAAACUCUGUUUGACUUGGGUUCAUGGGUGAGAGAUGAAAGGCACUAUAUUGCAUUACCAAUCCCUGGGGCCAGCUGGCCUCCCUAAAGAAGCAUUUCAUUUAGCAGGGCAACUGCUGGUCCAUGGGAAUCGGGGAGUUAAGAGAAAGAGGAUGCAGUUGCAAUUGCAAAUGCUUCCUUAGGGCAGAUGUCUUAAAGCCACACAGAAACUCACUGCUUCAGCGUUGCAAUAGUUGCUCCAGGACACUUAACGGCCAGCAGAUUUUUCCUAUAAUUAAUCUCCCUUUCUUCCCACCAAAACACCCCUUAGGUUACUUGUAGUGUUUCUGCCUCUGUCCUAUUCUGUUUUGCUCCAUCUCCCUGGGGAAGAUGCCCUGUACCUGGGACAAGCCCAAUGCAGCAUGUAUGAACUGAUGCCUUUUCUAAGAGCUUCAAAGUCUAGGCAGCCUAUGCCUUCCUCAUCUUCUGGAUGAAACAAGCAGCCCUGGUAUCACACUUAGAGCUUGGGAGGAGAGAAGCGUUCUCCUGAACUUCGCAAAUAUUUUCAGUAUCCUAGAGCUGAGAUGCUGACUGAUUUUCUUGGCUGUAAUGGAGUGGUCCUUGUAAUCAGGGCAGUCUAAGUGCUGCCUUUUUAGAGAUCAUGGAUGCAGUGCUUACUGCUGCAAUGGUUACGGGAAGGAGAACACCUGCUGCUCAGACAGACCAAGAAUUCAACCAGGACCCAUCCUGAAUUUCUUAUGAUCUCAAAAGCCGGCAUGGUUCCAAAUUCCUUAGCACUGGUCAAAAUCCUUAUUUCACUUUUAUCCUUUGCGUUUUUCAUGUGAAUUAUGAGACAUUCAGAAGUUGCAUUUGUUGUUUGAUAGUUUUACAUCAUAGUUGUAAUAAUGCAUCUGCUGAGUCAGCAGUUCUUCCUGUGUGUGUUUGUUUACUUUAUAAUCCACUUCCAGCAAGUUCUUGUUAACCAAUUCCUGCUGACAACCAGGGAACAGGCACAAGUCAGCUCUGAAAAUGAACGACUGGAAGGUAAGUGAAAGGAAUAGUAAAUGCAGGCCAUUCAUGUGACAGGAUCCAAUUCAUUUUUAUACCAGGGAGAUGUUUUAAAUGGGACUUCUCCCAGAGGAAAGCUCUCAAUGCUCAAGGCCUGCUUCACCAUAAAGACAAUACAUAAUUAUUCAGAGCUUAUUAUUAUUUUUUAUCAGUCAUUUUCCAGUCACACGGAGCGAGGGCACAGAUGAGAUCAGGACCUAGUUUAUUGCCAGGCACUGUACAGAUUGUACAGUACACAGUACUGUAAGAACCCUAUAAAAGGUGUUAACUAUCUGCUUAAUGGAGGCAGAGAAAUGCACCCAGGCUGAAGGUUAAAGCAACAGGCCUAAGAUGGCACAACUCAUCAGCAGCAAAAAUGGGGGCUCAGCCUGGGACCCUCUCUCCCGGGAUCCUGCUGCAUGUUGCUUUAUACACCUUUUACAUUUAUUUCAAAUCACUGAAAUGAUGAACUGAGUAAAUGCCAUGUCCUUUGAAGCACUGUUUAUUGUAUUUAUAGGAAACAGAUUAUCUGUUCUCUCAGGCUAGUGGAAAUUAUUAGGAGUGAUCAACUCAUCAGGAAAAAAUGUAGGCUGGGUGUGACAGAGAAACUUGUGUUUUAUUCCGCAGUGCCAUCUUAAUCUCUGGUUUUGGUAUGACAGACUAUGUGGUCUCAGCGAUACUGCACCAUCCUGUUCUUUGCUUUCAAGCUCAGGUCACGGGUUGGAUUUGGAAGCAGCAAUUUUCAUGCAGAGAUGUGACUGGAAGCUGAAUGUUAUUCCAGGACAUUACUCCAUUCAUGACCUCACUGCAGUUCCUGAAUUCUUUCUGGAAAGAUUAAAAAUGAACUAAUAUACCAGUGAUCUCAUCACGGCUUAAAGAACAUCUUACACAGGAGGGAAAAAAAGGCAGGACAACUUCAGUGCUUCAUUUGCAUCAAGAGUAGAAAAAACACUUUAACAGCAUUGUUGAGAAACCCUGAAGGUACAAUGCUAGAGAAGCAUUUUUCCUGCCUUUAUCUAUACCUUCCCUUGUCUCUUCUAUGCCCUUCCUACAUGUUUUAAUGUACCUGAUUACUUGGAAUCAUACACAUUACUUUUUCUAAGUACAUCCAAAAGACAUUUUGCAGAAUACAAUCAUGUUACACAACAGUAUUCAUACAUACUUCAUCCAUAGCUUACAUUAUUCUGGGUAAGAACACCUUUCUUACAUGUAUAUACGGUUCUCCGGCUAAGGGGGCUAAGGGGUUAUGGAUUAUAACAGGUCUCAUCUACUUUGGAGCUGUUGUAUCCUCUAACAGAAAUCAGGAAGAUGAGUAGGGAGAGAUGCUUUGUUUUCUUUGAUAGGAAAACCUAUAAACUAGCACUCAUGUAACCAAGAAUCCCACCAUAUUUUAAAUGUUGUAUCCCAUUCUAAAGUUGGAAACUAGAAUACCUUCAGGAUACGAGUACAGUGUUAACAACAAUCUUAUCUCUUGCGCCCAUGGGUACACCUCAGCUCUGGCUUGAGAUCACAUGUUAGGCAAUGAGGUGACAAACCAGUUUCCUUCCUCAAGCUGAAUGUCACGUAGCUGCCCAGGGGUUCGUUUUGGUGGGGGUCAUGUCCCCUGACUUUUCAUGGAGAGGUGUGCUGGUGUAACCCCUUCCCACACUGUACAUUUGUCAGGAGGAGACAAAAAUGCUCAUUUCCAUCCAUAACAUUUCUCUGUCAUGUAGACUGCCCACGAGGCAUCAGCCUGUAAGCUGGGAGGCAUCAGAGCAGCCACUUGUUAGACACUGACAAAGAAACCUCCAAAACCUAAGUGGAGAUGAAUUCCCAGGGCUAAAGCAAGCUGAUAUAUAAGGGAUGAUGGUACCUUUCUACCCACCCAACAAGAUUUGUUACUCCUAGAUGGGGCAACACACAAACCAACCCUAAAUGCUUUGCAGCUGAUAGAUCUGCUUUAGUGAAAAGAGGCCCAAACAGUGAUAUUAUAGGCUAAUACAUGCUGCAGCAUUAAUAGAAGUCCAAAAGGCCCAAAGAGCAGUGCAGAGCAUUUGUUACCAACAAGAAAAUAGUGGGUGAAAAUCUGUUGUAAUUUCUGGCCCCAGGAGCCUCUCUGGAGGCACAGACUUCCCAAAGCAGAGGGGAGUUGGAGAACUGGGUGUAUUCAGCAAGAUCUCAUCCCCCUGCAGAUUUACCAGGUCAGCUCAGUCCAGGAUAAAGGAGCUGAGCAAGGUCCUGAGCUACACUAAAAGUUCGUUGCUCUAUUGAUUGUGAAGAGGUAGUUAUAGGAGAUCAGGAUCUUGAACCGAGACUAGUUUGUACAGCUUCAUCUGGUACACCAAAUCAUAUAUUCCCCAACUACAGAUAAAACAAAUGGCCAAUUUUAGCCUAAUCAUCACUUCUGCCAGAGGAAAGAGAAACUCUUUGAGGUACGUUCUCUUGGAUAUAAUUCUUUCUUUCCAGGUUAAAGAAGGGCUGCAGCUAAUACGUAUCCUGAGUCAUAAUGCGGAUUUGCACCUUUCCUGUUAAAUAUAGCUGGUUCGUGUCCAAAGCAUCGUUUUUAUUCCUAAUGUUCACUUAUAUCGUUACAACUUCUACAUUAGUUGCAGGUGUGAAACGCCAACUGAUCCACACCUCUUUUGCUGUCAGCAGGAAAGUAAUGUAUGUCAAAGGCCUGAUUCUCAGAGGUGAGGUCACCAGGAUCUCCUCAUUUGCACAUCUGCUUUGCUAAACACAAAGCUCUGGAGAUUUGCAAAGCUCCAAUACGCACUAAAUGGGAUGAGUUCACUGGGGGCCAUACAGGAGAAACUAUUUGUGCUUCUCCUUUAGUAGGCAGGUCCCAGAAUUUUCCCUCUAUACAAAAUAUUUGCUGUUUUACAACAGGCAGCAUUUUGCUAGUUUUCACAUGGAUACUUGUGUCUUUGGCAUUAAUAAGGAAAAAGGCUAUGCUUCAUGUUACAUGUGAUACAAGCGAAUUCAGGAUACCAACAAGUUAAAAAAAGAGCUCAAUACAUUCAGCAGCUUCAGAAAGGUGCUAAUAUUCAGUGUGUGCCUGCUUGGACUGUGAAGGUAUUAACUCCUGGAGGGACAAUGCUGCUGGAGACUGUUUCAGAGAGGCAUCCAGAUUUGGUUUUGAGGGCUUCAGAAAAGCAUUCGCAUAUUUCUACUUCCUGCUGUUAGUGGAUUAUUUUUUAUACCUUGGAAAAAGUCUUUGAAUUAAUGUGUGUGCAUGAUGUCUAGAUAAUGCUUCUUGCCCAGGGACCUCUAAUACACAGUAUUUUUUGCCUUCUACACUUUCCAUGAGAUCAAAGACUAAUCAUAUAUAUGCACCUAAUUAUUUUCUGAUUUCUGCUCAUCUAUAAUAUCCGUUAAUAUCUGCAAUAAAGAUUCCCACAAAUAAUUUAUACAGAC